CUAGCGGCGGACGGGUGAGUAAUGCUUAGGAAUCUGCCUAUUAGUGGGGGACAACAUUUCGAAAGGAAUGCUAAUACCGCAUACGUCCUACGGGAGAAAGCAGGGGAUCUUCGGACCUUGCGCUAAUAGAUGAGCCUAAGUCGGAUUAGCUAGUUGGUGGGGUAAAGGCCUACCAAGGCGACGAUCUGUAGCGGGUCUGAGAGGAUGAUCCGCCACACUGGGACUGAGACACGGCCCAGACUCCUACGGGAGGCAGCAGUGGGGAAUAUUGGACAAUGGGCGCAAGCCUGAUCCAGCCAUGCCGCGUGUGUGAAGAAGGCCUUAUGGUUGUAAAGCACUUUAAGCGAGGAGGAGGCUACUUUAGAUAAUACCUAGAGAUAGUGGACGUUACUCGCAGAAUAAGCACCGGCUAACUCUGUGCCAGCAGCCGCGGUAAUACAGAGGGUGCAAGCGUUAAUCGGAUUUACUGGGCGUAAAGCGCGCGUAGGCGGCUAAUUAAGUCAAAUGUGAAAUCCCCGAGCUUAACUUGGGAAUUGCAUUCGAUACUGGUUAGCUAGAGUGUGGGAGAGGAUGGUAGAAUUCCAGGUGUAGCGGUGAAAUGCGUAGAGAUCUGGAGGAAUACCGAUGGCGAAGGCAGCCAUCUGGCCUAACACUGACGCUGAGGUGCGAAAGCAUGGGGAGCAAACAGGAUUAGAUACCCUGGUAGUCCAUGCCGUAAACGAUGUCUACUAGCCGUUGGGGCCUUUGAGGCUUUAGUGGCGCAGCUAACGCGAUAAGUAGACCGCCUGGGGAGUACGGUCGCAAGACUAAAACUCAAAUGAAUUGACGGGGGCCCGCACAAGCGGUGGAGCAUGUGGUUUAAUUCGAUGCAACGCGAAGAACCUUACCUGGCCUUGACAUAGUAAGAACUUUCCAGAGAUGGAUUGGUGCCUUCGGGAACUUACAUACAGGUGCUGCAUGGCUGUCGUCAGCUCGUGUCGUGAGAUGUUGGGUUAAGUCCCGCAACGAGCGCAACCCUUUUCCUUAUUUGCCAGCGAGUAAUGUCGGGAACUUUAAGGAUACUGCCAGUGACAAACUGGAGGAAGGCGGGGACGACGUCAAGUCAUCAUGGCCCUUACGGCCAGGGCUACACACGUGCUACAAUGGUCGGUACAAAGGGUUGCUACCUAGCGAUAGGAUGCUAAUCUCAAAAAGCCGAUCGUAGUCCGGAUUGGAGUCUGCAACUCGACUCCAUGAAGUCGGAAUCGCUAGUAA
This 1254-nucleotide ribosomal RNA is filed under the name Acinetobacter sp. RNAcentral's name for it is "bacterial SSU rRNA". It matches the Rfam family "Bacterial small subunit ribosomal RNA", at positions 92 to 1341 of the family's 1533-position model. The record is from RNAcentral. Lineage: Bacteria; Pseudomonadati; Pseudomonadota; Gammaproteobacteria; Moraxellales; Moraxellaceae.